AUUGAACGCUAGCGGGAUGCCUUACACAUGCAAGUCGAACGGAGUGGCGAACGGGUGAGUAAUGUAUCGGAACGUGCCCAGUAGUGGGGGAUAACUACGCGAAAGCGUAGCUAAUACCGCAUACUUUUGGCGCGGCCGCUAUCGGAUUAGCUAGUUGGUGGGGUAACGGCUCAACAAGGCGACGAUCCGUAGCUGGUUUGAGAGGACGAGCAGCCAAACUGGGACUGAGACACGGCCCAGACUCCUACGGGAGGCAGCAGUUGGGAAUGUUGGACAAGGGGGGAAACCCUGAUCAAGCCAUCCCGCGUGAGCGAUGAAGGCCUUCGGGUUGUAAAACACUUUUGGCAGGAAAGCGGUACCUGCAGAAUAAGCACCGGCUAACUACGUGCCAGCAGCCGCGGUAAUAC
Molecule: ribosomal RNA, 407 nt
Filed under: uncultured bacterium
Lineage: Bacteria
Description: partial 16S ribosomal RNA
Rfam family: Bacterial small subunit ribosomal RNA
Source: RNAcentral